GAGACACGGUCCAGACACCUACGGGUGGCAGCAGUCGAGAAUCAUUCACAAUGGGGGAAACCCCGAUGGUGCGAACGCCGCGUGAGGGAAUGAAGGUCUUCGGAUUGUAAACCCCUGUCAUGUGGGAGCAAAUUAAAAAGAUAGUACCACAAGAGGAAGAGACGGCUAACUCUGUGCCAGCAGCCGCGGUAAUACAGAGGUCUCAAGCGUUGUUCGGAAUCACUGGGCGUAAAGCGUGCGUAGGCGGUUUCGUAAGUCGUGUUGUGAAAGGCGGGGGCUCAACCCCCGGACUGCACAUGAUACUGCGAGACUAGAGUAAUGGAGGGGGAACCGGAAUUCUCGGUGUAGCAGUGAAAUGCGUUAGAUAUCGAGAGGAACACUCGUGGCGAAGGCGGGUUCCUGGACAUUAACUGACGCUGAGGCACGAAGGCCAGGGGAGCGAAAAGGAUCCGAUACCCCUGUAGUCCUGGCAGUGACCGGUGCACGUUUGGUGUGCGGGGAAUUGACCCCCUGCGUGCCGGAGCUAACGCGUUAAGCGUCCCGCCUGGGGAGUACGGUCGCAAGAUUAAAACUCAAAGAAAAUGACGGGGACCCGCACAAAGCGGUGGAGUAUGUGGCUUAAUUCGAUGCAACGCGAAGAACCUUACCUGGGCUUGACAUGUAAUGAACAACAUGUGAAAGCAUGCGACUCUUCGGAGGCGUUACACAGGUGCUGCAUGGCCGUCGUCAGCUCGUGUCGUGAGAUGUUUGGUUAAGUCCAGCAACGAGCGCAACCCCUGUUGCCAGUUACCAGCACGUAAAGGUGGGGACUCUGGCGAGACUGCCCAGAUCAACUGGGAGGAAGGUGGGGACGACGUCAGGUCAGUAUGGCCCUUAUGCCCAGGGCUGCACACGUACUACAAUGCCCAGUACAGAGGGGGCCGAAGCCGCGAGGCGGAGGAAAUCCUAAAAACUGGGCCCAGUUCGGACUGUAGGCUGCAACCUGCCUACACGAAGCCGGAAUCGCUAGUAAUGGCGCAUCAGCUACGGCGCCGUGAAUACGUUCCCGGGUCUUGCACA
This 1059-nucleotide ribosomal RNA is filed under the name uncultured bacterium. RNAcentral describes it as "bacterial SSU rRNA". It matches the Rfam family "Bacterial small subunit ribosomal RNA", at positions 321 to 1387 of the family's 1533-position model. The record is from RNAcentral.